Molecule: ribosomal RNA, 415 nt
Filed under: uncultured soil bacterium
Lineage: Bacteria
Description: bacterial SSU rRNA
Rfam family: Bacterial small subunit ribosomal RNA
Source: RNAcentral
AGAUUGAACGCUGGCGGCAUGCCUUACACAUGCAAGUCGAACGGCAGCACGGGAGCAAUCCUGGUGGCGAGUGGCGAACGGGUGAGUAAUAUAUCGGAACGUGCCCAGUCGUGGGGGAUAACGCAGCGAAAGCUGUGCUAAUACCGCAUACGAUCUAUGGAUGAAAGCGGGGGAUCGCAAGACCUCGCGCGAUUGGAGCGGCCGAUAUCAGAUUAGGUAGUUGGUGGGGUAAAGGCCUACCAAGCCUGCGAUCUGUAGCUGGUCUGAGAGGACGACCAGCCACACUGGAACUGAGACACGGCCCAGACUCUACGGGAGCAGCAGGUAGGAAUAUUGGACAAGUGGCGCAAGCCUGAUCCAGCAAUGCCGCGUGAGUGAUGAAGGCUUAGGUGUAAGCUCUUUACCGAGAUGAAUA